Molecule: ribosomal RNA, 496 nt
Filed under: uncultured bacterium
Lineage: Bacteria
Description: partial 16S ribosomal RNA
Rfam family: Bacterial small subunit ribosomal RNA
Source: RNAcentral
GACGAACGCUGGCGGCGUGCCUAAUACAUGCAAGUUGAGCGCUGAAGGUUGGUACUUGUACCAACUGGAUGAGCAGCGAACGGGUGAGUAACGCGUGGGGAAUCUGCCUUUGAGCGGGGGACAACAUUUGGAAACGAAUGCUAAUACCGCAUAAAAACUUUAAACACAAGUUUUAAGUUUGAAAGAUGCAAUUGCAUCACUCAAAGAUGAUCCCGCGUUGUAUUAGCUAGUUGGUGAGGUAAAGGCUCACCAAGGCGAUGAUACAUAGCCGACCUGAGAGGGUGAUCGGCCAAAUUGGGAGUGAGAAACGGCCCAAACUCCUACGGGAGGCAGCAGUAGGGAAUCUUCGGCAAUGGACGAAAGUCUGCCCGAGCAACGCCGCGUGAGUGAAGAAGGUUUUCGGAUCGUAAAACUCUGUUGGUAGAGAAAAACGUGGGUGAGAGGGGAAAGCCCAUAAAGGGGCGGAAAUUACCCAAAAAGGGCCGGCUAACUCCGU